GAUGAACGCUAGCUACAGGCUUAACACAUGCAAGUCGCGGGGCAGCAUGGGGGUUGCUUGCAAUCCCCGAUGGCGACCGGCGCACGGGUGAGUAACGCGUAUCCAACCUGCCCUUCACCACGGGAUAACCCGGCGAAAGUCGGACUAAUACCGUAUGUUGUCCAUUGACGGCAUCCGAUUUGGACGAAAGGUUUGGCGGUGAAGGAUGGGGAUGCGUCCGAUUAGCUGGACGGCGGGGUGACGGCCCACCGUGGCGACGAUCGGUAGGGGUUCUGAGAGGAAGGUCCCCCACACUGGAACUGAGACACGGCCCAGACUCCUACGGGAGGCAGCAGUGAGGAAUAUUGGUCAAUGGGCGUAAGCCUGAACCAGCCAAGUAGCGUGCAGGAUGACGGCCCUAUGGGUUGUAAACUGCUUUUAUGCGGGGAUAAAGUGGCCCACGUGUGGGUUUUUGCAGGUACCGCAUGAAUAAGAACCGGCUAAUUCCGUG
RNAcentral lists this ribosomal RNA (490 nucleotides) under uncultured bacterium. RNAcentral describes it as "partial 16S ribosomal RNA". It matches the Rfam family "Bacterial small subunit ribosomal RNA", at positions 28 to 507 of the family's 1533-position model. The record is from RNAcentral.